RNAcentral lists this ribosomal RNA (274 nucleotides) under uncultured bacterium. Its description in RNAcentral is "partial 16S ribosomal RNA". It matches the Rfam family "Bacterial small subunit ribosomal RNA", at positions 523 to 796 of the family's 1533-position model. The record is from RNAcentral.
AUACGGAGGGUGCAAGCGUUACUCGGAAUCACUGGGCGUAAAGCGCGCGCAGGCGGUCUUUUAAGUUGGAUGUGAAAGCCUACGGCUCAACCGUAGAACUGCAUCCAAAACUAUUAGACUAGAGUGUGGGAGAGGAAGAUGGAAUUAGUUGUGUAGGGGUAAAAUCCGUAGGGAUAACUAGGAAUACCAAAAGCGAAGGCAAUCUUCUGGAACACUACUGACGCUGAGGCGCGAAAGCGUGGGGAGCAAACAGGAUUAGAAACCCCAGUAGUCC